Long non-coding RNA from Apis cerana (Asiatic honeybee), 1807 nucleotides. RefSeq lists it as uncharacterized. Lineage: Eukaryota; Metazoa; Arthropoda; Insecta; Hymenoptera; Apidae. The record is from RefSeq and is a predicted model, not a curated record.
CUCCAAAGGCGAUAUUUCGUUUGGAUCUGGUUCCUUCGCUUUGUAAUAUUCUGGUUGUUUCGGAGGUGCUGCCUCGUUCGUUUCAGGUGCGGUUGGUCCUCCUGUUGCCGCUGUAGACAAGAUGAUCAAGUAUAUAAUAAGGAGAACAAGGCCCUGUGUACGAUAAACGAUCCUCUUGCAACGAUCUGUAACUAACGAGAGCGCUUUCUUCCGCGGGUUCGUCGUCUUUUGGUAGAAAAGGUAUAUUGUAAGAUUUCGCCCAUCGUUCCAAUCUAGUGUUGAAAGACAACGCCACGCAAUACACACCGUACAUAAUCAACAUGAACAAGGAUUCCAUCCUGAAAGAGAAAAUUUAGUACACGAUAUUACGACGAUAUAAAAAAAAAAUAAAUUUUGAUAAAAAUGUUGAAAUUCUCUCACCAUGAUAUGGAUUCGUUGUAGAUCGUACCGAGCAUUACCAAUAUCGAUACCGCGUAAAAGAAACAAUCCCGGCAAAGGGGCCACCAAUUCAAUUUUGACACUGUUGUCGUGCAAAGCCCGCAAACCGAUAUCACGAACAUUAUAUUGAAUACUGCGCUUCCAAUCACACCGCUUAUCUGCAACAGCAAUGUUCGUUAUAAUUUCCUACCAUGUUCCAUAUAAUAAUUAAAUUUGAAAUUUAACCAGAUAUCAGAUAUUAUUCCAUAUGAUCAACGAAAUACUUACUCCAAUAUCAUCUUUGGCAAAGAAAACGCCGAUUACCACAGUUGCCAAUUCCGGGGCUGAGGAACCCGCAGCCAUGAAAGUUGCUCCAGCAACAUCGGGAGACAAUCGUAGCUCUGCGUGUAACAAAAUUUAACAUUUUUGUUAACAACAAAGAAUAACAAUUAAAUUUUGAACGUAUAAAUUUCUCUCUUCGAAAGUUUUUUUUUCCUUUACCUUCGCAAAUUCGGUCCAAACUGGAGACAAAGUAAUCGUCGCAAACGAUGGCAAGGCCUAGAAAAGUGUAGAUCGCGGCUAAAAUGUGAAUGAUUAAUCCACCGUGUUUCCUAGCAUCCGGACCCAUUAAAGGCCGUGGAAAUUGUUCGAUCGCUGGUGGUGAACAGUUUUCUCUUCUCGGCCUCCAUGUUGCGCGUUCGUAUUUUACAGUGGUCGUUGAUGGAACCUAGAAUCUCGAAUAAGCAAUAUCUCUUAUUUACGUCCAAAAUGAAAAUCGGACGAGUUCCAAUGUGGUAUCCAUAUGGAAUUCGAUGAUAAAAAAAAAAAUAUCAGAGUCUCACCGUUGUGGUUCUAGGAACAUUCUUGGAUAAAAUCGUUGUGACUUCUUUCUUAGGGACUACCGGUUUUUCCACUAAUUCCUCCUUUGACUUUUCAUUCGCUUCCUUCGAUUUUUCUUCUUCCUUUAUCUUUUCUUCCUUGCCUUUCUCCUCUUGUUGUUGUUUCUCGCCCACUUCCUCCUCCUUGUUCCCCCCUUCAUUUUUCUCAUCCAUUUCCUUCGCUACAUUUUCUACCGGUGGAAGCUCCUUAAUAAUCGUUUCCUCAACCUCAACCGUGGUUGUAAACGACUCCAAGGUAGAUUCCACGGUCCAGUUUUCCUCGCGAUCCGUAGAACUGGGAUAAGUGGAAGUUAGCUCUUCAGGUAUUUUUGCACAAGUGAUGUACUGAACUAACACAUAUACGAUGAAGAGACCUAUGCGCAAAGGCCGUCUUUUGCGCCGCGAAUUACUUUGUAACUGAAUUCGCCUCAUUGUCUUCGACUGAAACAUAUUUCAUGUAAAUUUAAUGAAUGAUAUACGUGUCUUUUUCUUUUAUGUGUAAAUAUUAAAAA